This 311-nucleotide ribosomal RNA is filed under the name Echeneibothrium variabile. RNAcentral describes it as "partial small subunit ribosomal RNA". It matches the Rfam family "Eukaryotic large subunit ribosomal RNA", at positions 65 to 344 of the family's 3401-position model. Lineage: Eukaryota; Metazoa; Platyhelminthes; Cestoda; Rhinebothriidea; Echeneibothriidae. The record is from RNAcentral.
CUAACCAGGAUUCCCCUAGUAACGGCGAGUGAAGAGGGAAAAGCCCAGCACCGAAGCCUGCGGCAGUUUUGCUGUUAGGCAAUGUGGUGUUUGGGUCGGCUCGUGGGAUUGCCACUCCACUCCAAGUCCAGCAUUGAGUAUGGUCUACUGGAUUUGGCCCAGAGAGGGUGAAAGGCCCGUACGGGUGGAGGUAUCAGACAUGUGAGGCAAUUCACCAGGCCGACCUUAGAGUCGGGUUGUUUGAGAAUGCAGCCCAAAGCGGGUGGUAAACUCCAUCCAAGGCUAAAUACUAGCACGAGUCCGAUAGCAAA